RNAcentral lists this ribosomal RNA (501 nucleotides) under Acinetobacter lwoffii. Its description in RNAcentral is "bacterial SSU rRNA". It matches the Rfam family "Bacterial small subunit ribosomal RNA", at positions 279 to 771 of the family's 1533-position model. The record is from RNAcentral. Lineage: Bacteria; Pseudomonadati; Pseudomonadota; Gammaproteobacteria; Moraxellales; Moraxellaceae.
AUCUGUAGCGGGUCUGAGAGGAUGAUCCGCCACACUGGGACUGAGACACGGCCCAGACUCCUACGGGAGGCAGCAGUGGGGAAUAUUGGACAAUGGGGGGAACCCUGAUCCAGCCAUGCCGCGUGUGUGAAGAAGGCCUUUUGGUUGUAAAGCACUNUAAGCGAGGAGGAGGCUACCGAGAUUAAUACUCUUGGAUAGUGGACGUUACUCGCAGAAUAAGCACCGGCUAACUCUGUGCCAGCAGCCGCGGUAAUACAGAGGGUGCAAGCGUUAAUCGGAUUUACUGGGCGUAAAGCGCGCGUAGGUGGCCAAUUAAGUCAAAUGUGAAAUCCCCGAGCUUAACUUGGGAAUUGCAUUCGAUACUGGUUGGCUAGAGUAUGGGAGAGGAUGGUAGAAUUCCAGGUGUAGCGGUGAAAUGCGUAGAGAUCUGGAGGAAUACCGAUGGCGAAGGCAGCCAUCUGGCCUAAUACUGACACUGAGGUGCGAAAGCAUGGGGAGCAA